Molecule: ribosomal RNA, 468 nt
Filed under: uncultured bacterium
Lineage: Bacteria
Description: partial 16S ribosomal RNA
Rfam family: Bacterial small subunit ribosomal RNA
Source: RNAcentral
GACGAACGCUGGCGGCGUGCUUAACACAUGCGAGUCGAACGGAAAGGCCCUGCUUUUGUGGGGUGCUCGAGUGGCGAACGGGUGAGUAACACGUGAGUAACCUGCCCUUGACUUUGGGAUAACUUCAGGAAACUGGGGCUAAUACCGGAUAGGAGCUCCUGCUGCAUGGUGGGGGUUGGAAAGUUUCGGCGGUUGGGGAUGGACUCGCGGCUUAUCAGCUUGUUGGUGGGGUAGUGGCUUACCAAGGCUUUGACGGGUAGCCGGCCUGGGAGGGUGACCGGCCCCAUUGGGACUGAGAUACGGCCCAGACUCCUACGGGAGGCAGCAGUGGGGAAUAUUGCAUAAUGGGCGGAAGCCUGAUGCAGCAACGCCGCGUGCGGGAUGACGGCCUUCGGGUUGUAAACCGCUUUCGCCUGUGACGAAGCGUGAGUGACGGUAAUGGGUAAAGAAGCACCGGCUAACUACGUG